Molecule: ribosomal RNA, 448 nt
Filed under: uncultured organism
Description: partial 16S ribosomal RNA
Rfam family: Bacterial small subunit ribosomal RNA
Source: RNAcentral
ACACUCCUGCGGGAGGCAGCAGUGGGGAAUAUUGGACAAUGGGCGCAAGCCUGAUCCAGCCAUGCCGCGUGAGUGAUGAAGGCCCUAGGGUUGUAAAGCUCUUUCACCGGUGAAGAUAAUGACGGUAACCGGAGAAGAAGCCCCGGCUAACUUCGUGCCAGCAGCCGCGGUAAUACGAAGGAGGCUAGCGUUGUUCGGAUUUACUGGGCGUAAAGCGCACGUAGGCGGACUAUUAAGUCAGGGGUGAAAUCCCGGGGCUCAACCCCGGAACUGCCUUUGAUACUGGUAGUCUUGAGUUCGAGAGAGGUGAGUGGAAUUCCGAGUGUAGAGGUGAAAUUCGUAGAUAUUCGGAGGAACACCAGUGGCGAAGGCGGCUCACUGGCUCGAUACUGACGCUGAGGUGCGAAAGCGUGGGGAGCAAACAGGAUUAGAUACCCCAGUAGUCCCA